CCUACGGGGGGCAGCAGUGGGGAAUAUUGGACAAUGGGGGAAACCCUGAUGCAGCGACGUCGCGUGAGUGAUGAAGUAUUUCGGUAUGUAAAGCUCUAUCAGCAGGGAAGAAAAUGACGGUACCUGACUAAGAAGCCCCGGCUAACUACGUGCCAGCAGCCGCGGUAAUACGUAGGGGGCAAGCGUUAUCCGGAUUUACUGGGUGUAAAGGGAGCGUAGACGGCGGGGCAAGCCAGGUGUGAAAGGCCGGGGCUCAACCCCGGGACUGCAUUUGAAACUGUGCGGCUGGAGUGUAGGAGAGGCAGGCGGAAUUCCUGGUGUAGCGGUGAAAUGCGUAGAUAUCAGGAGGAACACCGGUGGCGAAGGCGGCCUGCUGGACGGUGACUGACGUUGAGGCUCGAAAGCGUGGGGAGCAAACAGGAUUAGAUACCCGAGUAGUC
Molecule: ribosomal RNA, 440 nt
Filed under: uncultured bacterium
Lineage: Bacteria
Description: partial 16S ribosomal RNA
Rfam family: Bacterial small subunit ribosomal RNA
Source: RNAcentral